AACCUCCCAUCCCCCACUACUCUAGAUAAUGAAUUUGAAAACCUGGAUAGCAUUCCUUUAUAUGUGGAGCCUUUCUCAUAUUUUACGAGCUCCCUCAAAUUCUUCCGCACCUUGUUUCCCUAAUUGAUCAAAGACUUCAGUCUCUCCUAGUCAAUCAAAUACAAAGGAAAAUCAACCUGAAAUGAUCUAUUUAUGCAGCCUAGCUAGCACAACUUUCGGCCAGCCAGUUUCAAGGUUAUUUCGAUCGAGUAUUCGACCAAACCAGCAAACGUUCAUUCAGCAUGAAUUCGGAGGAGAGAGCACAGCGCAAUCACAGCGGCAAUUCUUAUCCUAGCCUUAGUUUUCUGUCUUCGACCAUAAUAAUUCUUUGAAAAUGUUUCCCCAUAAGAAAAGACAAGGGAAAUUCUUUUAUAUCUGAUACACUAUGUUGUCUUUGAUUUCCUCCACUGAGGCCACACGUUAUGCAGAAUUUAAUUAAAGCAGGCUAUUAACAA
Populus nigra (black poplar) is the source of this 494-nucleotide long non-coding RNA. RefSeq lists it as uncharacterized. The record is from RefSeq and is a predicted model, not a curated record. The transcript is spliced from 3 exons. NCBI's taxonomy places the organism in Eukaryota, Viridiplantae, Streptophyta, Magnoliopsida, Malpighiales, Salicaceae.